This 253-nucleotide ribosomal RNA is filed under the name uncultured bacterium. Its description in RNAcentral is "partial 16S ribosomal RNA". It matches the Rfam family "Bacterial small subunit ribosomal RNA", at positions 524 to 776 of the family's 1533-position model. The record is from RNAcentral.
UACGAAGGGGGCUAGCGUUGCUCGGAAUUACUGGGCGUAAAGGGAGCGUAGGCGGAUAGUUCAGUCAGAGGUGAAAGCCCAGGGCUCAACCUUGGAACUGCCUUUGAUACUGGCUAUCUUGAGUUUGGGAGAGGUGUGUGGAACUCCGAGUGUAGAGGUGAAAUUCGUAGAUAUUCGGAAGAACACCAGUGGCGAAGGCGGCUCACUGGUCCGGUACUGACGCUGAGGUGCGAAAGCGUGGGGAGCAAACAGG